RNAcentral lists this non-coding RNA (27 nucleotides) under Rattus norvegicus (Norway rat). The record is from RNAcentral. Lineage: Eukaryota; Metazoa; Chordata; Mammalia; Rodentia; Muridae.
CACUAGACCAUUGGAUGAUGAUGAGGC